This 912-nucleotide ribosomal RNA is filed under the name uncultured bacterium. RNAcentral describes it as "bacterial SSU rRNA". It matches the Rfam family "Bacterial small subunit ribosomal RNA", at positions 8 to 916 of the family's 1533-position model. The record is from RNAcentral.
AGAGUUUGAUCCUGGCUCAGGAUGAACGCUAGCGACAGGCCUAACACAUGCAAGUCGAGGGGUAACAGGGUUGCUUGCAACCGCUGACGACCGGCGCACGGGUGAGUAACGCGUAUGCAACCUACCUUAUACUGGGGGAUAGCCCAGAGAAAUCUGGGAUUAAUACCGCAUAACACUUAAAUUUCGCAUGUUAUUUAAGUUAAAACUCCGGUGGUAUAAGAUGGGCAUGCGUAGCAUUAGUUAGUUGGUGAGGUAACGGCUCACCAAGACGAUGAUGCUUAGGGGGUCUGAGAGGAUAGUCCCCCACACUGGUACUGAGACACGGACCAGACUCCUACGGGAGGCAGCAGUGAGGAAUAUUGGUCAAUGGGCGCAAGCCUGAACCAGCCAUGGUCGCGUGCAGGAUGACGGCCCUAUGGGUUGUAAACUGCUUUUUUACGGGAAUAAACUUUGCUACGUGUAGCGAACUGAAGGUACCGUAUGAAUAAGGAUCGGCUAGCUCCGUGCCAGCAGCCGCGGUAAUACGGAGGAUUCGAGCGUUAUCCGGAUUUAUUGGGUUUAAAGGGUGCGCAGGCGGAGGAUUAAGUCAGUGGUGAAAUCUCACAGCUCAACUGUGAAACUGCCAUUGAAACUGAUUUUCUUGAAUACGGUUGAGGUAGGCGGAAUACGUUAUGUAGCGGUGAAAUGCUUAGAUAUAACGUAGAACACCGAUUGCGAAGGCAGCUUACUAAGCCGUUAUUGACGCUGAGGCACGAAAGCGUGGGGAGCGAACAGGAUUAGAUACCCUGGUAGUCCACGCCGUAAACGAUGAUUACUCGUUGUGCGCGAUACAUUGUGCGCGACUGAGCGAAAGCAUUAAGUAAUCCACCUGGGGAGUACGUUCGCAAGAAUGAAACUCAAAUGAAUUGACGG